This 452-nucleotide ribosomal RNA is filed under the name uncultured bacterium. RNAcentral describes it as "bacterial SSU rRNA". It matches the Rfam family "Bacterial small subunit ribosomal RNA", at positions 30 to 524 of the family's 1533-position model. The record is from RNAcentral.
AUUGAACGCUGGCGGCAUGGCUAAAACAUGCAAGUCGAACGGACCCGCAAGGGUUAGUGGCGGAAGGGUGAGGAAUAGUAUCGAACGUACCCAGAGGUGGGAGAUAGGCAUGGGAAACUGUGCGUAAUACCCCAUGAUCUCGGAAGAGCAAAGGCGCAAGUCGCCUUGGGAGCGGCGAUAUUCCUAUCAGGUAGUUGGCGGGGUAAUGGCCCACCAAGCCGAAGACGGGUAGCAGGUGUGAGAGCACGGCCUGCCACAUCGAGACUGAGACACUGCUCGGACUCCUACGGGAGGCUGCAGUAACGAAUAUUCCGCAAUGCACGAAAGUGUGACGGAGCAAUGCCGCGUGCAGGAUGAAGCAGCUUCGCUGUGUAAACUGCUGUCAGGAGUUACUAACACUGAAGAACUCCAGAGGAAGGACCGGCUAAUCUCGUGCCAGCAGCCGCGGUAAU